This 493-nucleotide ribosomal RNA is filed under the name uncultured bacterium. RNAcentral describes it as "partial 16S ribosomal RNA". It matches the Rfam family "Bacterial small subunit ribosomal RNA", at positions 29 to 523 of the family's 1533-position model. The record is from RNAcentral.
AUUGAACGCUGGCGGCAUGCUUUACACAUGCAAGUCGAACGGUAACAGGUUAAGCUGACGAGUGGCGAACGGGUGAGUAAUGCAUCGGAACGUGCCCGAUCGUGGGGGAUAACGCAGCGAAAGCUGCGCUAAUACCGCAUACGAUCUGAGGAUGAAAGCGGGGGGCCGUAAGGCCUCGCGCGAUCGGAGCGGCCGAUGUCAGAUUAGGUAGUUGGUGGGGUAAAGGCCCACCAAGCCGACGAUCUGUAGCUGGUCUGAGAGGACGACCAGCCACACUGGGACUGAGAAAGGGCCCAGACUCCUACGGGAGGCAGCAGUGGGGAAUUUUGGACAAUGGGCGAAAGCCGGAUCCAGCAAUGCCGCGUGCAGGAAGAAGGCCUUCGGGUUGUAAACUGCUUUUGUACGGAGCGAAAAGGUCCUUUCUAAUACAGGGGGCUCAUGACGGUACCGUAAGAAUAAGCACCGGCUAACUACGUGCCAGCCGCCGCCGUAA